This is a long non-coding RNA of Xenia sp. Carnegie-2017, 256 nucleotides long. RefSeq lists it as uncharacterized. The transcript has 3 exons. The record is from RefSeq and is a predicted model, not a curated record. NCBI's taxonomy places the organism in Eukaryota, Metazoa, Cnidaria, Anthozoa, Malacalcyonacea, Xeniidae.
UAUUCCACUGAAUGGAGUCCUUCAGCAAGAACUGCUUCAGAGCUACUUCCGCUUCCAGGCGAUAGUAAAGAUGAUGAUAACAAUGAUAACAACGUAACUGCAAUUGCUGCAGCUUCUGCAGCUGCUUUUGUUUUCACUAUCGUCUUUGUGGUGCUAAUAACUCUUUGGAGAAGAAGACGUGCUAUUGUUCAAGAGCCUAAAUCGCAUUUGCAAUCAGAACAUGAGGAUAGGAAUGGACAAGAGCUGUCCGUUAGAA